Long non-coding RNA from Sardina pilchardus (European sardine), 234 nucleotides. RefSeq lists it as uncharacterized. Lineage: Eukaryota; Metazoa; Chordata; Actinopteri; Clupeiformes; Clupeidae. The record is from RefSeq and is a predicted model, not a curated record. The transcript has 3 exons.
UAGGCCUGGCUGCCUGUGUCCAAGGUGAAUUUUGGAUAGCCUACAGUAAAAUGGGUAGCCAAAGUUGGCUAGAGUCUGUUGUUUACCCUCUCUGGAAACAUUUUUAUCACUGACCCGUGAAUGAAACUUAGAGUCUAUUCCAUCUUAACUGCCUCAACCAGCUCCAUAGAAAAGAGCUGUCAAGGACACUGAGCCCCAUAGACGAGGGAAGCUGAGCAGUGCUGAGCUGACCAG